GACGAACGCUGGCGGCGCGCUUAACACAUGCAAGUCGAACGGAAAGGCCCUGCUUUUGUGUGGUGCUCGAGUGGCGAACGGGUGAGUAACACGUGAGUAACCUGCCCUUGACUUUGGGAUAACUUCAGGAAACUGCGGCUAAUACCGGAUAGGCGCUCCUGCUGCAUGGUGGGGGUUGGAAAGUUUCGGCGGCUGGGGAUGGACUCGCGGCUUCUCAGCUUGUUGGUGGGGUAGUGGCUUACCAAGGCUUCGACGGGUAGCCGGCCUGAGAGGGUGACCGGCCACGUUGGGACUGGGAUACGGCCCAGACUCCUACGGGAGGCAGCAGUGGGGAAGAGUACACAAUGGGCGGAAGCAUGAUGCGGCGACGCCGCGUGGGGGAUGACGGCCUUCGGGUUGUAAACCGCUUUCGCCUGGGACGAAGCGUGAGUGACGGUAAUGGGUAAAGAAGCACCGGCUAACUACGUG
RNAcentral lists this ribosomal RNA (468 nucleotides) under uncultured bacterium. RNAcentral's name for it is "partial 16S ribosomal RNA". It matches the Rfam family "Bacterial small subunit ribosomal RNA", at positions 28 to 507 of the family's 1533-position model. The record is from RNAcentral.